This 507-nucleotide ribosomal RNA is filed under the name uncultured bacterium. RNAcentral's name for it is "partial 16S ribosomal RNA". It matches the Rfam family "Bacterial small subunit ribosomal RNA", at positions 36 to 538 of the family's 1533-position model. The record is from RNAcentral.
GACGAACGCUGGCGGCGCGCCUAACACAUGCAAGUCGAACGAGCGAGAGAGAGCUUGCUUUCUCGAGCGAGUGGCGAACGGGUGAGUAACGCGUGAGGAACCUGCCUCAAAGAGGGGGACAACAGUUGGAAACGACUGCUAAUACCGCAUAAGCCCACGGGUCGGCAUCGACCAGAGGGAAAAGGAGCAAUCCGCUUUGAGAUGGCCUCGCGUCCGAUUAGCUAGUUGGUGAGGUAACGGCCCACCAAGGCAACGAUCGGUAGCCGGACUGAGAGGUUGAACGGCCACAUAGGGACUGCGGCACGGCACAGACUGCGACGGGGGGGAGAAGGGGGAAAGACUGCACAAGGGGGGAAACCCUGAUGCGGCGACGCGGCGUGGAGGAAGAAGGUCUUAGGUUUGUAAACACCUGUGGUUGGAGAAGAUGAUGACGGUACAAAACAAGGAAGUGACGGCUAACUACGUGCGCGCAGGCGAGGUAAAGGAUAAAAGAGAACAAGUCUGAAC